Molecule: non-coding RNA, 75 nt
Organism: Myotis davidii
Lineage: Eukaryota; Metazoa; Chordata; Mammalia; Chiroptera; Vespertilionidae
Source: Rfam
GGCGGUUCUCGGAUGACGCACCCCAGAAUCGGGCUCCCUCCUCUCUGACUCCGGGUGCAUCACCUGAGAACCACA